Molecule: ribosomal RNA, 463 nt
Filed under: uncultured bacterium
Lineage: Bacteria
Description: partial 16S ribosomal RNA
Rfam family: Bacterial small subunit ribosomal RNA
Source: RNAcentral
CGAACGCUGGCGGCGUGCUUAACACAUGCAAGUCGAACGGAAAGGCCCUGCUUGCAGGGUACUCGAGUGGCGAACGGGUGAGUAACACGUGGGUGAUCUGCCCUGCACUUCGGGAUAAGCCUGGGAAACUGGGUCUAAUACCGGAUAGGAGCCAUUUUUAGUGUGAUGGUUGGAAAGUUUUUUCGGUGUAGGAUAAGCUCGCGGCCUAUCAGCUUGUUGGUGGGGUAAUGGCCUACCAAGGCGGCGACGGGUAGCCGGCCUGAGAGGGUGGACGGCCACAUUGGGACUGAGAUACGGCCCAGACUCCUACGGGAGGCAGCAGUGGGGAAUAUUGCACAAUGGGCGCAAGCCUGAUGCAGCGACGCCGCGUGGGGGAUGACGGCCUUCGGGUUGUAAACUCCUUUCGCUAGGGACGAAGCUUUUUGUGACGGUACCUAGAUAAGAAGCACCGGCUAACUACGUG